Dipodomys ordii (Ord's kangaroo rat) is the source of this 70-nucleotide non-coding RNA. NCBI's taxonomy places the organism in Eukaryota, Metazoa, Chordata, Mammalia, Rodentia, Heteromyidae. The record is from Rfam.
GGGAAUGUGGCUUAGUGGUAGAGUGCUUGCCUUGCAUGCACGAAGCCUUAGGUUCGAUUUCCCAGUACCA